UAGCUUUCCAGGGAGCAGGGAUGA
RNAcentral lists this non-coding RNA (24 nucleotides) under Rattus norvegicus (Norway rat). The record is from RNAcentral. Lineage: Eukaryota; Metazoa; Chordata; Mammalia; Rodentia; Muridae.